AGAGUUUGAUCAUGGCUCAGGACGAACGCUGGCGGCGUGCUUCAGACAUGCAAGUCGAGCGGGCGGAGGUCGAACCGCAAGGGGAGGCUGAAGCUAGCGGCGAACGGGUGAGUAACACGUGGGUAAUCUACCCGGAAGACUGGGAUAACGGCCCGAAAGGGCCGCUAAUACCGGAUAAUAUCGCGGUCUCGCAUGAGGCUGCGAAGAAAGGCGAAAGCCACUUUCGGAUGAGCCCGCGACCCAUCAGCUAGUUGGUGAGGUAACGGCUCACCAAGGCGACGACGGGUAGCCGGUCUGAGAGGAUGGUCGGCCACACUGGGACUGAGAUACGGCCCAGACUCCUACGGGAGGCAGCAGUCGGGAAUAUUGGGCAAUGGGCGAAAGCCUGACCCAGCGACGCCGCGUGAGGGAAGAAGGCCUUCGGGCCGUAAACCUCUGUCAUUGGGGACGAAGGAAGUGACGGUACCCGAGGAGGAAGCCCCUGCUAACUACGUGCCAGCAGCCGCGGUAAUACGUAGGGGGCGAGCGUUGUCCGGAGUUAUUGGGCGUAAAGGGCGUGUAGGCGGCCUGUUAAGUCAGGUGUGAAAUUUCAGGGCUUAACCCUGAACCUGCGCUUGAAACUGGCAGGCUAGAGGACAGGAGAGGGAAGUGGAAUUCCCGGUGUAGCGGUGGAAUGCGUAGAUAUCGGGAGGAACACCAGUGGCGAAGGCGGCUUCCUGGACUGUACCUGACGCUGAGGCGCGAAAGCUAGGGGAGCAAACAGGAUUAGAUACCCUGGUAGUCCUAGCCGUAAACGAUGAGUGCUAGGUGUGGGAGGUUAAAAUCCUUCCGUGCCGGAGUUAACGCAAUAAGCACUCCGCCUGGGGAGUACGGCCGCAAGGCUAAAACUCAAAUGAAUUGACGG
Molecule: ribosomal RNA, 904 nt
Filed under: uncultured bacterium
Lineage: Bacteria
Description: bacterial SSU rRNA
Rfam family: Bacterial small subunit ribosomal RNA
Source: RNAcentral